AACGGCCAUACCAUGAUAAAAGCACCGGUUCUCGUCCGAUCACCGAAGUUGCAAUCGGGCGGGGUCAGUACUUGGGAGGGUGACCACCUGGGAAA
This 95-nucleotide ribosomal RNA is filed under the name Trichonephila inaurata madagascariensis. The record is from RNAcentral. Lineage: Eukaryota; Metazoa; Arthropoda; Arachnida; Araneae; Nephilidae.